RNAcentral lists this ribosomal RNA (702 nucleotides) under Triticum aestivum (bread wheat). RNAcentral's name for it is "partial small subunit ribosomal RNA". The record is from RNAcentral. Lineage: Eukaryota; Viridiplantae; Streptophyta; Magnoliopsida; Poales; Poaceae.
AUGGCCAUGGCCGCGGACGAUGAGAUGCUGCGCCGGUACCUCCGCUGGGGCCUGCCCAUCGAGAGCGGUUUUAGGUACAAGUUAACCCCGAGGCCGGACGAGCCCAUCUAUGUCACCGGCGUCUACCUGCUCGACUCGGCGAGCGCUGUCGGCCAGGGCGCCGUGGACGCCCGCGUCCAUACCGACGACACGCGGGACCUCGUUAGCGCGUUGCUGAGCGCAGAGAACCCCCGCGUGGAGCUACAGACACCGGUGCGGCUGGAGAUGGGCAAGGAGUGUUGCUUCCACGCGGUGCCGCAUGGAGGCGAUUCCGACGCAGAAGCAGACACGGACGCCGAUGCUGACAUCAGCGCAGACGUCGACGCAGAUACCGACGCCGACCCUGACACCGACGCGGUCAUCGUCAUGUUCGAGGGUUUCCUCGUUACUCCGCGACCUCUUGAUAUGGAGGAGGAGGACGACGCCGCCGAAGAGGAGGAGGAGAACGACGUCGCCGAAGAGGAGGAGACUGGCAGCGACGACUCCGAGGACGAGUACGAGAAGGAGGAGGAAACUGACGGCGAGGUUGACCAAGACGUGCCCAGGGCGAGCAGUGCCGGUGGCAACGCCAAGGAGCUUCGACAGGUUGUAGCUAUAACUAUGGCAUUCUUAGGCGUCCUUUUGUCUGUCUCUAUGUUAGCAUUCCUCGGAUUGAUAAUGUAA